GACGAACGCUGGCGGCGUGCCUAAUACAUGCAAGUAGAACGCUGAAGGAGGAGCUUGCUUCUCUGGAUGAGUUGCGCACGGGUGAGUAACGCGUAGGUAACCUGCCUGGUAGCGGGGGAUAACUAUUGGAAACGAUAGCUAAUACCGCAUAAUAGUAGAUGUUGCAUGACAUUUGCUUAAAAGGUGCAAUUGCAUCACUACCAGAUGGACCUGCGUUGUAUUAGCUAGUUGGUGAGGUAACGGCUCACCAAGGCAACGAUACAUAGCCGACCUGAGAGGGUGAUCGGCCACACUGGGACUGAGACACGGCCCAGACUCCUACGGGAGGCAGCAGUAGGGAAUCUUCGGCAAUGGACGGAAGUCUGACCGAGCAACGCCGCGUGAGUGAAGAAGGUUUUCGGAUCGUAAAGCUCUGUUGUAAGAGAAGAACGAGUGUGAGAGUGGAAAGUUCACACUGUGACGGUAUCUUACCAGAAAGAGACGGCUAACUACGUG
This 495-nucleotide ribosomal RNA is filed under the name uncultured bacterium. RNAcentral describes it as "partial 16S ribosomal RNA". It matches the Rfam family "Bacterial small subunit ribosomal RNA", at positions 28 to 507 of the family's 1533-position model. The record is from RNAcentral.